UGUACACACACUCACUGCUGUUGUUAAACUACAGGGACGAGUUCAGCUGAAAAUGUCUCAUGGCAUUUCAUACCUGCAUGAUGUUCUUUCUUCUGCAGAACACUGUCAAUAUGUUGUGUGUAUUUGUCGAUAUAUCAUGGGUAUAUUAUUAAACCUCAUUCAAACUCAUUGUGAUGUAAGAAAAUAAGGCCAAUGUAAACAUGAGUGUUUCCUCUAACAUUGUUUUAUUUGAUUUUGUUGUGUUGAUACUGAUGUGUCUGUGAUGUAUUACCGCUGUCCUGCUGAGUUUAGUUUCUACUACUCUCUGUCUAUAUUCACUCGCUAUUAUUCUACUUCAUUUCCCAUCUCAACACUUUUGACUAGUUUUGUGUUAAUGGUUUUAAAUCAGCUUGUGAAUUUUUUUUUAAUGAGUAGUUUCCGUCUUUGUUAUAGCACAGAGUAGUAACCCCUGUGUGUAUUUACAAUCUGAGGGUUAUAAUAGAUCUCCUGCUGCUGAACCGACGCCGUCAUGCCAACACUGACUGACCCUGAACAACAUUGUGAGGUUGGACCCACGUGACCCUCUGCACACCCGCUGGGAUCUCUGUCGGUCCACAGUCACGCUAAACUAUGGUCAUCUUAAUGGCUAUGUGCUUUAAUGUGAGUUCACAAAAGGUUUCAGAGAGCUGAGAGGAAUUUAAGGUCAUAAAACUGAGGAAGUUUACCAAAUGUGUCCUGAGCACCUUGAGUUCAGUGUGUCACAUGUUAUUGAUGUCAGAAUGAGACUUAAAGUUGAAUGUUUUCUUUUAAACACAAAUGGGACGUGUAAGGUCUUUGUGUUACAUAUGGUUCUCUUUUGAAAUGUUUCCUAUAGAGCUGAACUCAAGUGUUUCUGGAGACUUUAGGUAUUUUAAUUGUUUUCUGAGGCGAUCUUCUUUCCUAAUGGAUCAUAACAGAGAAAACAAUAUUCAGCAAACCAGCACAUUAUCAUGCAGACUUUACAUGCUUAUCACUAUUUCAAAUGAAAGACAACUCCUCCUAUAUCUACUCUGUUUUGGCAUAAAUUAAUUUGUCAAUUGGCAAACCCAACUGAUGCCAUCAUGGAGAGAUUGUGUGACAGCCCUGAAAUCCUAAACAAAACUACACAAGAUAAAGGCAAAUACCACUCAAACUACACGUGUAUUUUUGACACUAGUUCACUUGCAUGAAGGUAAACGUGGAUUGUGUGUGUUUAUAUUCAUGAUUCUGUCCUUGGUGUCUUUCAGCAGUCCUCUCUGUGACAUGAAGCCGUCCUGUACUCUCAGACAGCGUUAAUACAAGUGCGUUUCCCUAUAAAAACACAGAACGGUUACGCCUGGCGUUAACACUAAUCCCAAGAGUUCGACCCAAGAAACUUUUGGGAACGCUGCAGUUUGAAAUCUCCGGUGGUUGCAUUUGUGUGUAAACAGACGAAAACUGAGACUUCCGAAUGUGCAGGCGUGGUUGCCCACAUUGGCUCACUGAUCGCCUCAUCUGUAUCGCUGCGUUUGCUUCCUGAUUUGUUAAGCCCCGGUCACAUGAGGCAUUACGCUACCUGAAGGCAACAAUGACCAGCCUCGCAAGGAGCAUGACCAAUACUUGAGAUGUACUUCGGAGGCAAAAUGACCGAAGAUAUCAAAUCUUGCUUCAAGACAAAAAAAACCUGUUAAUAAGUUAAGGAGAACUGAUGAUACACUUUGGAGCAUUUACACAAUGAAAGUCCUUUAAUCUGUGGCGUGUUCCAUUACAACUCUCAGGACUGAUGGACACAAAUCACACAUGCUCCCAACAUGUCAUCACUCAAAGAGUGAAAAAGCUGUUUUAAGUUUAGUUUCUCAGUAAAGGUUCAAAUGAGCUGCUCUGGUCACCGGCUCGGCUCUGUGCGGUUCUGCUCAGCGAGCCGAUAAUUCAGCAUUAAUGUUCCACUGUUAGCGGCUGUAAUGACCCGAGAUCUCAUCAUUAAUGCAGCCAGAAAUGAAAUAUAAAAUUUGCUGCAGUGGACAGCUGUAUUCAGCAGGGCGACCCACCCGAGCGUCAAACCGCCAGCGCCAUCUCGCUUUCACGCUCUCUAGAUUACAGAGGCGGUCCGAGGGGUUUGUCGAUGACCAAUAAAUGUUUUCUAAAAUUGCUCCUUUGUGAUGAGCAUCACCACCCUGUGAAGUGACUCCAAUGCGUCUGUGAUUGCCACCGGCGUGCUGAAGCAAAUUACACGUUAUUAAAUAUGAAGCUGUUGGGAACGAGUGCAGCUGUCGGACCGAUCGUGUUCUGACACGUCUGAUGGAGGUUUACACAGGCCGGGUUCUCUUUUUACAACACAGAAGUGUGUGUGUGUGAUUUCCUGAGAGUGAACAUUGCCCACCGAUAGUGUCGUUUUCAUGUGAUUGAGGUGAAGGUUGUCAUUUAGUCAUCUAGCAGACACUUUUAUCCAAAGCAACUUACAGGUGGGGUUGUAUCUGAAAAACUUUACUGAGUAUACACAUCAUUACUCCAGACGCUCUUCGUCAUCAUUUUACCACGAUCAUGUACCGAUCUGUUAAGAGAAUACUGUUAAUUGCUAUUUAUAGAGCUGACCUUGGGGAAUUAUAGAUGCUUCAUUUUAGCUUCAUUUACAAAAAAAAGAGGUCAUGUUUACGCUAAUAUUGCUCGCGUAUCUAUAGAAGUACAAAGCGUGCUACACAGAGUAAUCAUUACGACUUCAUAUCACACAUUAUUACAGGUGAAAGACCAGCAGAAAUAAGAUCAGGUCUUGUAUCACACUGAAGGGGUUUAUUUCGCGAUAACAGUUGGCUCAUUGUACAUUAUUUCAGUUAUUACACGGCUACUGUACUUGCCACAUGAGAAAAAAAUGGACAUGAAAUGUCAAUUUGAAAUAUAGCUCAUAUUUACUGAAUACACACCGUCCGUGAGGAAAAGCUGUUUACUUUUGACAAGACUCGCCGUCAGGAAAGGCAUUUGGUUUAUUUGUAAAUAUAAUGUCAUAUAUUUAUUAAAUUUAAUUUGUCCAAAAAUUUAUAAUUUAUAAUUUGUCCGUGUUACCGUGUGUUAUUAGUUUUGGGAGGAUGAUAUCUGGGAAUAACAAACCUGCAAAUCUGGCGACUGGCCAAUCAGAAUCAAGCAUUCCAACGAGCCGUGUAAGAAGGGAUUGUCCAGGUAUAUAUAGUUUACUAGUUCAAUACUUGUAGCACAUUUUUAGUCGAUGAAAGCACAGUCUGACAUACUGUAUAUUCAGAGUAAACGACUAGUUUAGUAGUGUUUAUACUGCAAAUAUUCCACACUGAAGCUGAACUUACUCUAUAAACUUGAGAAGUACGAAAGCAUGUCAAACUAUGUGACAAGAUGUUUUAAUGGACAAUCAAAAGAGUCAACACAACUACAAGUCAAGCACACUUCAAAUAUGUCAUUGUACCUUUAUAUAAUAUAGGUAUAUAGCCAUCUAAAGACUGAGAACUUAUU
This is a long non-coding RNA of Triplophysa dalaica, 3450 nucleotides long. RefSeq lists it as uncharacterized. Lineage: Eukaryota; Metazoa; Chordata; Actinopteri; Cypriniformes; Nemacheilidae. The record is from RefSeq and is a predicted model, not a curated record. The transcript has 3 exons.